UGCCAGCCGCCGCGGUAAUACGGAGGGUGCAAGCGUUAUCCGGAAUCACUGGGUUUAAAGGGUGCGUAGGCGGUCCGACAAGUCAGAGGUGAAAUGCACGAGCUUAACUGGUGAAUUGCCUUUGAAACUGUCGAGCUAGAAUUAUGUUGAGGUCAGCGGAAUGAGUCAUGUAGCGGUGAAAUGCAUAGAUAUGACUUAGAACACCAAUUGCGUAGGCAGCUGGCUGGGCAUAUAUUGACGCUGAGGCACGAAAGCGUGGGGAGCGAACAGGAUUAGAUA
This 279-nucleotide ribosomal RNA is filed under the name uncultured bacterium. RNAcentral describes it as "partial 16S ribosomal RNA". It matches the Rfam family "Bacterial small subunit ribosomal RNA", at positions 506 to 784 of the family's 1533-position model. The record is from RNAcentral.